AAGGAAGGGGAAGAAGGGAGGGGGGGAGGAAGGGGAGCAGCAGCGAGUACAAAAUCUAGGNGUAUAGUAACGUGGAGUGUUGGUAUACUNAGUGGCUUACCCAUCUUAUACUCCGUCCUAUGUUACUCCCCACGNCUUUCAGUCCGCAUAUGACGUGCCAUGUAUNCACGCGCCANGGGGCGUACGCUUCGGCCGAUCAUGGUAUUCCUCCACAUCUCUACGGCAUUGUCACUGUCUACACGUUGGAAUUCUACCCCCCUCUGCCAUACUCUAGCCCGCCAGUCACAAAUGCAGUUCCCAGGUUAAGCCCGGGGAUUUCACAUCUGUCUUAGCGGACCGCCUGCGCACGCUUUACGCCCAGUAAUUCCGAUUAACGCUUGCACCCUACGUAUUACCGCGGCUGCUGGCACGUAGUUAGCCGGUGCUUAUUCUUCCGGUACCGUCAUCCUCCCGCCGUAUUAGGGCAGAAGUUUUCUUUCCGGACAAAAGUGCUUUACAACCCGAAUGCCUUCUUCACACACGCGGCAUUGCUGGAUCAGGCUUUCGCCCAUUGUCCAAAAUUCCCCACUGCUGCCUCCCGUACGAGUCUGGGCCGUGUCUCAGUCCCAGUGUGGCUGGUCGUGCUCUCAGACCAGCUACAGAUCGUCGCCUUGGUAGGCCUAUACCCCACCAACUAGCUAAUCUGCCAUCGGCCGCCUCUGUAGCGGGAGGUUCUACAGAUCCCCCCCCGUUUCCCUCCGUUAAGAGCCGUUAUUGCGGGGUAUUUAAAUUCCCGGGGCAUUUUCCCGCCUCGGGGGG
RNAcentral lists this ribosomal RNA (798 nucleotides) under Burkholderia sp. N3SM30. Its description in RNAcentral is "partial 16S ribosomal RNA". Lineage: Bacteria; Pseudomonadati; Pseudomonadota; Betaproteobacteria; Burkholderiales; Burkholderiaceae. The record is from RNAcentral.